This 437-nucleotide ribosomal RNA is filed under the name uncultured bacterium. RNAcentral describes it as "partial 16S ribosomal RNA". It matches the Rfam family "Bacterial small subunit ribosomal RNA", at positions 29 to 507 of the family's 1533-position model. The record is from RNAcentral.
AGCGAACGCUGGCGGCAGGCUUAACACAUGCAAGUCGAGCGGGCAUCCUUGUGGUGUCAGCGGCAGACGGGUGAGUAACGCGUGGGAACGUGCCCUUGGGUUCGGAAUAACUCAGGGAAACUUGAGCUAAUACCGGAUACGUGCGAGAGCAGAAAGGUUUAUCUGCCGAAGGAUCGGCCCGCGUCUGAUUAGCUAGUUGGUGAGGUUAUGGCUCACCAAGGCGACGAUCAGUAGCUGGUCUGAGAGGAUGAUCAGCCACACUGGGACUGAGACACGGCCCAGACUCCUACGGGAGGCAGCAGUGGGGAAUAUUGGACAAUGGGGGCAACCCUGAUCCAGCCAUGCCGCGUGAGUGAUGACGGCCUUAGGGUUGUAAAGCUCUUUUCUCCGGGACGAUAAUGACGGUACCGGAGGAAUAAGCCCCGGCUAACUUCGUG